GACGUAGACCCGAAACCGGGCGACCUACCCAUGAGCAGGAUGAAGCGAAAGUAAAAUUUCAUGGGGGUCCGACCGCACGGGCGAUGAAAAGCUCGGGGAGGACUGGUGGGUAGCGGUGAGAGUACAGGCGAGCCCGGAGAUAGCUGGUUCGCCACGAAAUAGCUUUAGGGCUAGCCUCAAGGUGAGAGAUACGGAGGUAGAGCACUGAAUGUCCUAGGGGGUAUUGCACCUACCGAAGACUAUCAAACUCCGAAU
Molecule: ribosomal RNA, 255 nt
Filed under: Clostridioides difficile
Lineage: Bacteria; Bacillati; Bacillota; Clostridia; Peptostreptococcales; Peptostreptococcaceae
Description: partial 23S ribosomal RNA
Rfam family: Bacterial large subunit ribosomal RNA
Source: RNAcentral